Molecule: ribosomal RNA, 253 nt
Filed under: uncultured Acidobacteriota bacterium
Lineage: Bacteria; Pseudomonadati; Acidobacteriota
Description: uncultured Acidobacteria bacterium partial 16S ribosomal RNA
Rfam family: Bacterial small subunit ribosomal RNA
Source: RNAcentral
UACGGGGGGGGCAAGCGUUGUUCGGAAUUACUGGGCGUAAAGGGCUCGUAGGCGGCCAUCUUAGUCGGACGUGAAAUCCCUCGGCUCAACCGGGGAACUGCGUCUGAUACUGGUUGGCUCGAAUCCGGGAGAGGGAUGCGGAAUUCCAGGUGUAGCGGUGAAAUGCGUAGAUAUCUGGAGGAACACCGGUGGCGGAGGCGGCAUCCUGGACCGGUAUUGACGCUGAUGAGCGAAAGCCAGGGGAGCAAACGGG